UACGUAGGGUGCGAGCGUUGUUCGGAAUUACUGGGCGUAAAGGGCUCGUAGGCGGCCAACUAAGUCAGACGUGAAAUCCCUCGGCUUAACCGGGGAACUGCAUCUGAUACUGGAUGGCUUGAGUUCGGGAGAGGGAUGCGGAAUUCCAGGUGUAGCGGUGAAAUGCGUAGAUAUCUGGAGGAACACCGGUGGCGAAGGCGGCAUCCUGGACCGACACUGACGCUGAGGAGCGAAAGCCAGGGGAGCAAACGGG
This 253-nucleotide ribosomal RNA is filed under the name uncultured bacterium. RNAcentral's name for it is "partial 16S ribosomal RNA". It matches the Rfam family "Bacterial small subunit ribosomal RNA", at positions 524 to 776 of the family's 1533-position model. The record is from RNAcentral.